AGUGAACGCUGGCGGUAGGCCUAACACAUGCAAGUCGAACGGCAGCACAGUAAGAGCUUGCUCUUACGGGUGGCGAGUGGCGGACGGGUGAGGAAUACAUCGGAAUCUACUUUUUUGUGGGGGAUAAUGUAGGGAAACUUACGCUAAUACCGCAUACGACCUACGGGUGAAAGCAGGGGAUCUUCGGACCUUGCGCGAUUGAAUGAGCCGAUGUCGGAUUAGCUAGUUGGCGGGGUAAAGGCCCACCAAGGCGACGAUCCGUAGCUGGUCUGAGAGGAUGAUCAGCCACACUGGAAGUGAGACACGGUCCAGACUCCUACGGGAGGCGGCAGUGGGGAAUAUUGGACAAUGGGCGCAAGCCUGAUCCAGCCAUACCGCGUGGGUGAAGAAGGCCUUCGGGUUGUAAAGCCCUUUUGUUGGGAAAGAAAAGCAGCAGGUUAAUACCCCGCUGUUCUGACGGUACCCAAAGAAUAAGCACCGGCUAACUUCGUG
RNAcentral lists this ribosomal RNA (492 nucleotides) under uncultured bacterium. Its description in RNAcentral is "partial 16S ribosomal RNA". It matches the Rfam family "Bacterial small subunit ribosomal RNA", at positions 29 to 507 of the family's 1533-position model. The record is from RNAcentral.